GUGAGGAAUUUUGCGCAAUGGGGGCAACCCUGACGCAGCGACGCCGCGUGGAGGACGAAGUCUUUCGGGAUGUAAACUCCUGUCAGUGGGGACGAUAAUGACGGUACCCACAGAGGAAGCACCGGCUAACUCCGUGCCAGCAGCCACGGUAAGACGGAGGGUGCAAGCGUUGUUCGGAAUUACUGGGCGUAAAGCGUAUGUAGGCGGCAAGUUAAGUUCAAUGUUAAAGCCCACGGCUCAACCGAGGAGAUGCAUUGAAUACUGGCUAGCUAGAGGGUGUUAGAGGAAGACGGAAUUCCCAGUGUAGCGGUGAAAUGCGUAGAUAUUGGGAGGAACAUCGGUAGCGAAAGCGGUCUUCUGGGACAUACCUGACGCUGAGGUACGAAAGCGUGGGGAGCAAACGGGAUUAGAUACCCUAGUAGUCC
RNAcentral lists this ribosomal RNA (425 nucleotides) under uncultured bacterium. RNAcentral's name for it is "partial 16S ribosomal RNA". It matches the Rfam family "Bacterial small subunit ribosomal RNA", at positions 354 to 796 of the family's 1533-position model. The record is from RNAcentral.